GAGGGUAUAGCUCAAGUCGUAGAGUGCAUGCUUAGCAUGCACGAGGCUCUGGGUUCAAUCCCCAGUACCUCCU
Molecule: transfer RNA, 73 nt
Organism: Camelus ferus (Wild Bactrian camel)
Lineage: Eukaryota; Metazoa; Chordata; Mammalia; Artiodactyla; Camelidae
Rfam family: tRNA
About the family: Transfer RNA (tRNA) molecules are approximately 80 nucleotides in length. Their secondary structure includes four short double-helical elements and three loops (D, anti-codon, and T loops). Further hydrogen bonds mediate the characteristic L-shaped molecular structure. tRNAs have two regions of fundamental functional importance: the anti-codon, which is responsible for specific mRNA codon recognition, and the 3' end, to which the tRNAs corresponding amino acid is attached (by aminoacyl-tRNA synthetases). tRNAs cope with the degeneracy of the genetic code in two manners: having more than one tRNA (with a specific anti-codon) for a particular amino acid; and 'wobble' base-pairing, i.e. permitting non-standard base-pairing at the 3rd anti-codon position.
Source: Rfam